Molecule: non-coding RNA, 30 nt
Filed under: Homo sapiens (human)
Lineage: Eukaryota; Metazoa; Chordata; Mammalia; Primates; Hominidae
Source: RNAcentral
UAGGUCUGCUCAGUUCUGGGGUGUAAUGGU